RNAcentral lists this long non-coding RNA (1052 nucleotides) under Lathyrus oleraceus (garden pea). Its description in RNAcentral is "Pisum sativum (pea) long non-coding RNA (PSAT_LNC032263)". The record is from RNAcentral. Lineage: Eukaryota; Viridiplantae; Streptophyta; Magnoliopsida; Fabales; Fabaceae.
CCAAAAUGAACCGACUAUCUAGCCUUGGCCUUGCAUGCUUCCCAGCUAUUUUUAAAACAUGCGGUGGUAUCUUUGGUAUUUUCCAGCUGCAAAUAGCACUCUGACAACAGACCAAAUACAUAAGCAAGGCGAAGUUUGUUGCAAAUUUCAUCUUGACAUGAGCUGAACUGAGUUGGUUUUUGAAUUACAGGGGCUAACUUCUGGCAGGAUAGCAGUGUAGAUCAGUGGUAUGCUGCUGAAGUAGUCAAAAUGCGACUUUUGCAUUGCAGGAGGUUCAUGGAGCAAGGGUGACGGAUCAAACUGCUAGGUUCCUGAUGCAUUACUUGGCAGAUUGAUGUGUGGUUUGUGCCGCUUUCGAGUUUUAACUGAGGCCUGUAAGCACAAUGGUCAGUUCAGGAAUUUAACCGUUUUGAAAUGACUUUGGUGGGUCUUAGUAUGACGGUAACCGCACAUAUAUAAUCCUGUAUGAUAUUACUAAACACUUCCAAACUCCUUUGCUUUGUCAAUAAGACCAGCCCUUCCAAAGAAAUGGACCAUACAGGAAUAAUGCUCAAUCCUUGGAUUUAUUUGCAUAGACUUCUAUCAUUUUUCUGAAUAGCAAUUGUCCUUGUGCUACAAAACCAGAAUGAAUGCAAGCUAUUAAAACUGCUACCAUUGUUACAUGAUCUGGUUUAAUAUUAUUAUUCAACUGAUGUACAAUUUAUUUUGCUUGUUUGGAAACCAAAACCUGCAGGUUUGAGGCCUGUUUAGAUGCCGGCUAUCAAUGAGUGAAGGUCCUUCAUCUAAAGAGAUGCAAGUAACAACAACAAGCUAAAUCAUCCAUGGCUUAUCUUUUUGGAAAUGGAAGGUUAGAAGGAUCCUAUCAAAGUAAGUAACAUCGAGUGCUGCAGUGAGAGGUGAAAAGUCAUAAUGAGCAUUGACUUUAAGCAUCCAUUGAACAGUUUCACGACGAGGUUGAGAGAGAGAAACAAAAUCCACGGCCUUUUCUCAGAUCCUCGUAAUAUGUUUCUUGUUGUUUCUCAAGUAUUUGAUACAUAAACGAAAUCUGGAAA